Molecule: ribosomal RNA, 388 nt
Filed under: uncultured bacterium
Lineage: Bacteria
Description: bacterial SSU rRNA
Rfam family: Bacterial small subunit ribosomal RNA
Source: RNAcentral
GACGAACGCUGGCGGCGUGCUUAACACAUGCAAGUCGAGCGGUAAGGCCCUUUCGGGGGUACACGAGCGGCGAACGGGUGAGUAACACGUGGGUGACCUGCCCUUAGCUCUGGGAUAAGCCUGGGAAACUAGGGUCUAAUACCGGAUAUGACUCCAUAACGCAUGUUGUGGGGUGGAAAGCCUUGUGCGGCUAGGGAUGGGCCCGCGGCCUAUCAGCUUGUUGGUGGGGUGAUGGCCUACCAAGGCGACGACGGGUAGCCGGCCUGAGAGGGCGACCGGCCACACUGGGACUGAGACACGGCCCAGACUCCUACGGGAGGCAGCAGUGGGGAAUCUUGCGCAAUGGGCGAAAGCCUGGCGCAGCGACGCCGCGUGGGGAUGACGGCCU